AUGAACGCUGGCGGCGUGCCUAAUACCUGCAAGUCGAGCGAACAGACGAGGAGCUUGCUCCUCUGACGUUAGCGGCGGACGGGUGAGUAACACGUGGAUAACCUACCUAUAAGACUGGGAUAACUUCGGGAAACCGGAGCUAAUACCGGAUAAUAUAUUGAACCGCAUGGUUCAAUAGUGAAAGACGGUUUUGCUGUCACUUAUAGAUGGAUCCGCGCCGCAUUAGCUAGUUGGUAAGGUAACGGCUUACCAAGGCAACGAUGCGUAGCCGACCUGAGAGGGUGAUCGGCCACACUGGAACUGAGACACGGUCCAGACUCCUACGGGAGGCAGCAGUAGGGAAUCUUCCGCAAAGGGCGAAAGCCUGACGGAGCAACGCCGCGUGAGUGAUGAAGGUCUUCGGAUCGUAAAACUCUGUUAUUAGGGAAGAACAAAUGUGUAAGUAACUAUGCACGUCUUGACGGUACCUAAUCAGAAAGCCACGGCUAACUACGUG
Molecule: ribosomal RNA, 496 nt
Filed under: uncultured bacterium
Lineage: Bacteria
Description: partial 16S ribosomal RNA
Rfam family: Bacterial small subunit ribosomal RNA
Source: RNAcentral